RNAcentral lists this ribosomal RNA (456 nucleotides) under uncultured Allobrachymonas sp. RNAcentral describes it as "bacterial SSU rRNA". It matches the Rfam family "Bacterial small subunit ribosomal RNA", at positions 923 to 1382 of the family's 1533-position model. The record is from RNAcentral. Lineage: Bacteria; Pseudomonadati; Pseudomonadota; Betaproteobacteria; Burkholderiales; Comamonadaceae.
GCACAAGCGGUGGAUGAUGUUGGUUUAAUUCGAUGCAACGCGAAAACCUUACCCACCUUUGACAUGGCAGGAAUCCCGAAGAGAUUUGGGAGUGCUCGAAAGAGAACCUGCACACAGGUGCUGCAUGGCUGUCGUCAGCUCGUGUCGUGAGAUGUUGGGUUAAGUCCCGCAACGAGCGCAACCCUUGCCAUUAGUUGCUACGAAAGGGCACUCUAAUGGGGACUGCCGGUGACAAACCGGAGGAAGGUGGGGAUGACGUCAAGUCCUCAUGGCCCUUAUAGGUGGGGCUACACACGUCAUACAAUGGCCGGUACAGAGGGUAGCCAACCCGCGAGGGGGAGCCAAUCCCACAAAGCCGGUCGUAGUCCGGAUCGCAGUCUGCAACUCGACUGCGUGAAGUCGGAAUCGCUAGUAAUCGCGGAUCAGCAUGUCGCGGUGAAUACGUUCCCGGGUCUU